Long non-coding RNA from Python bivittatus (Burmese python), 1561 nucleotides. RefSeq lists it as uncharacterized. NCBI's taxonomy places the organism in Eukaryota, Metazoa, Chordata, Lepidosauria, Squamata, Pythonidae. The record is from RefSeq and is a predicted model, not a curated record.
UGUAAAGUAACCAAUAAUUCCACGGCCAUUAUUGCCAUCAGAGCACAUAAUGACUAUCCAAUGAUUCCAUUACAGGAGGAGGAGCCUUUAAAAGCCCGGUAUGCCUGCUGCUGAGUCUCACCUGGGUCGCCGUAGGCAGGAGAAAACAAAAAUGCUCCCGUGAGAAAGCAACCCUGUCAGCAUUGUUUGCUUCUGUUGGGAAAAAAGAGGACAUUUUAACCACGCAGACAGACAGCUGCAGAGAGGCAGACAACAGAUCAUUUGCCGGAGAAAGAGGCCAUGUUAGACAGAGCUUCUUAUGUAUGCGGAUACGUCAAGGAAUCUGAUGCAGGAAUCGCUCCAAUGACCAGGCUGGCUGGGGAAUUCUGGGAGUUGAAGUCCAUGCAUCUUGAAGUUGCUGAGGUGGAGAAAUGUUGAUCUAGAGGAACCAAUAUGUGACAACCACCAAACUACAGUCCAUUGCAGGAAAGGCAGCACCUGUGUAUAGAGUCUGUGAAUAAUAUUAAUAUUAUUAUUAUUAUUAUUAUUAUUAUUAUUAUUAUUAUUAAUAAGAAUAAGAAUAAUUUCAGUGGAGCGAGUAAGGUUAAAAAGCUGCAAGGAGCUCAAUAUUUUUUUUACCUUAAAAACGUUCCAAUGAUGUCUCACUUUUAGGCAAGUUGAGGGCUUUAUUUCAUUUUCAUGGUUGUCGUUUUUUAAAGUUUAUGUUUUAAUGUUUAGUGUGUAGGCAUCCUGGAUUGGGGCUGCAAAAAACAAACCGCCACUAGAUGGGAGUAGAGGGGUAGAGCUUUCUUUCUUUUUUCUUGAUUAAUUAAAAAAAAACAGAGUAACUGUAAAAAGAAGAAAAGGAAAAAAAUAAUGGAUAAAAGAAUAAAAUAUACGUAAAAAGGGAGUUUAAAUUUAGUAUUUAAUUGGUAGAUGUACUCAGUUCCAUACAUUAUAUCAUUUUUAAAAAACUAGAAAUCUCUAUAAAAGACUCAACAAGAUGUUAAUAUCACAACUAUUAUCAUUGUUCCAAGGAUAAAUGCACAUAAUCAUAGAAAGAAUGAGAAAAAGAAAAAACAGUAAAAACAGUAUUAAGAAAUGAGAUCGUUCUAAAUUCCCUCCCAUUGUACCAGACUGGUAAUUGCAUUAAAAUAUUUCUAAACAUUGAAAUUGCUUCUAAUUACUGUCUUUAUGUCAAUUAUUUCCUCCUUAAAAAUCAUACUCUAAAUGUCUGAAUUAGCCAUGUUGGGGGACAUAUGAUAUAUAGGUGAAUAAUUCUUGAUUAAAUUUAGUCAAACUGCUGGGUGUACACUCUUAAUUUUGCCAUUGCUGCAUAUUCCCCCAGUCUGAUUUCCCAGUUCUAAUACUGUCAGAAAGUGUCUCUUUUCCAAUGUUGAGCCAGAUUUGUCCCUGAGGCCAUCAGCGUAUAUCUUCACAGAUUGUGAUAUCUUAUAUUCAUAUGUUCUGGAACAAUUCCUAAUUUUAAAAAACUUGAGAUUUGUAUUCAAGCGUUGCUUUUAAGAUUUUUUGAAAUGUGCUGUUUAUUUCCUUCCAGUACUUUUGAGGUUUUUUUACAUGA